UACGUAGGUGGCAAGCGUUGUCCGGAUUUAUUGGGUUUAAAGGGUGCGUAGGCGGUCUUAUAAGUCAGUGGUGAAAUACGGCAGCUCAACUGUCGAGGUGCCAUUGAUACUGUAGGACUUGAGUACAGACGAGGUAGGCGGAAUUGACGGUGUAGCGGUGAAAUGCUUAGAUAUCGUCAAGAACACCGAUAGCGAAGGCAGCUUACUAGGCUGUAACUGACGCUGAGGCACGAAAGUGUGGGAGUACAAACAGG
This 254-nucleotide ribosomal RNA is filed under the name uncultured bacterium. RNAcentral's name for it is "partial 16S ribosomal RNA". It matches the Rfam family "Bacterial small subunit ribosomal RNA", at positions 524 to 776 of the family's 1533-position model. The record is from RNAcentral.